AACGAACGCUGGCGGCAUGCCUAACACAUGCAAGUCGAACGAGACCUUCGGGUCUAGUGGCGCACGGGUGCGUAACGCGUGGGAACCUGCCCUUAGGUUCGGAAUAACUCCCCGAAAGGGGUGCUAAUACCGGAUAAUGUCUUCGGACCAAAGAUUUAUCGCCUUUGGAUGGGCCCGCGUUGGAUUAGCUAGUUGGUAGGGUAAAAGCCUACCAAGGCGACGAUCCAUAGCUGGUCUGAGAGGAUGAUCAGCCACACUGGGACUGAGACACGGCCCAGACUCCUACGGGAGGCAGCAGUGGGAAAUAUUGGACAAUGGGCGAAAGCCUGAUCCAGCAAUGCCGCGUGAGUGAUGAAGGCCUUAGGGUUGUAAAGCUCUUUUACCCGGGAUGAUAAUGACAGUACCGGGAGAAUAAGCUCCGGCUAACUCCGUG
This 433-nucleotide ribosomal RNA is filed under the name uncultured bacterium. RNAcentral describes it as "partial 16S ribosomal RNA". It matches the Rfam family "Bacterial small subunit ribosomal RNA", at positions 29 to 507 of the family's 1533-position model. The record is from RNAcentral.